Molecule: non-coding RNA, 543 nt
Organism: Chiloscyllium plagiosum (whitespotted bambooshark)
Lineage: Eukaryota; Metazoa; Chordata; Chondrichthyes; Orectolobiformes; Hemiscylliidae
Source: RefSeq, a predicted model, not a curated record
CUCAAUUGGGGGCUAGAAUCAAAUGAUGCCAUAUGCAUUCAAAUUUCAGCUUGAAUAGUUUAUGACACUGAGAACAUGAUAUGUUGUAACUUUCUAUCAGAGCACAAGUGUGAGUAGCCACGUCUUCUAUCCCCAAGAGACCAUCCCAAAGGUACAGACAAUGCUAGAGCUGUGGAACGGGCAGACAAACUGUUGAAAUAAGUACAUCAUGCCUGCCCCAGUUUCACAGGAGUACUUGAGUGGAGAGGAAGCCGAAAGUGGUGACUGUUUCGAAUCAAGCAUUGACAGAGGAGAAAAUAAAUGAAAAUGGAGCAGCCUGUGGAAGUGGAACAGGGCCAAAGUGUCCAAUGUUGUUAACGAAGCAGCCUGUUGAAAAAUAUUUGUUCACUCAUCAGAAAAUUAUAUGAACAACAGACAAGAAUGUAUAAAGUUUCCAGUGGACUUAAAGGGAGGGUUAAACUUGUCAGACAAUGAUCAAGAUAUUGCAACAUAAGCAAAACUGCAACAAAUUGUGAAUUAUAGUUUCUAGUUGUUAAUAAAGUA